This 2481-nucleotide unclassified non-coding RNA is filed under the name Hevea brasiliensis (rubber tree). The record is from RNAcentral. Lineage: Eukaryota; Viridiplantae; Streptophyta; Magnoliopsida; Malpighiales; Euphorbiaceae.
UUCCAAAUAAAAAUAAAAUAUCUAUUUAAGUUGAGAGAUACAAUGAAAUGAAAGUAUGGCAUUCAGCGGCAGAAAGCCACAUACCUCUUGUAUAUAUUUGUUAACAGUCAGUGUAUUGCCUCUAGAAAUAUGCACUGGUCUGGUCAAAUUAUUUAUUCAAUUGUUUUCUAACAUGAUAAAUUGCUAUAAGGUACAGUUGGUUUGCGACUCUGUCAAGAUCUCUAUAAGCAUAGGAGGAGGUAUUGCUUUAAAAUUGUACAAAUCCUUGCCAGUCUCCAUCGAGCGAUUUUGCUAGGAAGCCAUUGGAAUUUUAAUAUAAGCAAGGUCAAUGCUAAGCUGACAAAUUUAAACACAAUCUGGAAUAGACAUAUGAGACAUACAUGCCUUUUGAUUUACUCAGUUUUGUGGAAGCCAUCCACCAACACAGAAGAAAAUCUCCCUAAACAAGUUCUGAGAGAGACCAAUCAUGGAGAUAGACCAUCCAUCAGAACUCAGAACCAUGCCAAUUCAAGAUGAAGCAGCAGAAACUGCACCCACAAGAGAAAAAAGAGAUCCACCACAACCACCACCAAAGCCCACCGUGUUGGACAAGUACCUAGAUUACCAGGGUUAUUGGUUGGAAAGGACUCGAGGCAACUUGAUGAUAGUGGCUACUGUUAUUGCAUCCAUGGCUUUUCAAUCUGCAACAAACCCGCCAAGUGAACUCUGGAAAGAAGAUUCCCAGGAAAAAGAAUCCAGAUUUGGACAGAUAAAGGAUGCGAUCAUAAAUAAAAAGAUACUCGAGGCAAGAAACAUAGCAAUAGCCUGUGUCAAUAAAUAUGACAGCCAAGAAUUUAUCAUCUGCAACACCGUCUCUUUCUCUGCGUCUCUCUGCAUAAUCUUUCUGCUUACUGUACUGCCCCUCAAAAACAGGAUUUCUAUGUGGAUUUUACUUGUAGCUAUCUGCAUCACACUGAUUUUCGUAGCUGCUACUUACAUAAUCUUGAUCAGCUUGGAUGGUGGUGGGUCAAACAAGGAAAGAUUUAUGGAUGAAAUUCUUUUGUACUACGUGGUAUUUUGGGUUUUGUUCCUAGCGAUGGUUGUCAUAUUUCUUGUCCUCAAACUUCUGUAUUGGAUAUUCAAGAAACUGGCAAUUGGUGUCUUCCAUGCCAUAAAGUUUCUAUACAAGAUGGGGAAGCAACCACUGAAGCCGAAAGUCAUCGAGCUACCAGCAGCCCGUGUUUGAGAAAGAACAAUUACUAGAUUUUGAGAAUGAAGAACUACAAAGGUUAGCACAUAUAUGGUCUAGACUAAUAGCGUGUUUCCCUUAAAGCAUGCUUGGAAUCCAUUUGUAUAUAUGUUUGCAAGUUAGGCUAGGAGUUCCAAAAUCUACAGGAGAACCAAUGCGAAUGAAAUUUAUAUUAGAUUCACUAUUGAGGAUGUUAGAUAUAGAAAUCUUGGUUCGUCAGUUUGAACAAAACAGAUCCUAAAUGAUUCAUAGAGCUAUUUGUGAUAGGUGGGUAUUAGCUUUUCAAGCCAGCUUAUGCUGUAGAACUCUGUUUCUUGUUUUGUACUAUACAAACAAUAAUGAUAUUUAUAGUAUAUAAUUGAUCCUCUGCUUCAGCAUUUCUCACAAUCAAAGGCAUAAAAAUCUUCCAAACAAGAACUAAGAAUUAUACAAUUAAUAAGAUAACCUCAAGAAAGAUGCAAAUUCUAGAAAUUGAUUUCAUAGUUUACACAAAUUGCAUGAAAAUUAAAGGCAAAAAUAAACAAAUUAAUCAUUGCUUGUAUCCUUGUUACGCAUUCUAUAAACAAUACGGCCUCUAGAGGAAUCAUAGCGACUGACCUCAACCUUGACUCUAUCUCCUGGAAGUAUCCGUACAAAAUUCUUCCUUAUCUUGCCCGAAAUAUACCCUAUGAUCACAUCUUCAUUGUCUAAGCGUACCCGAAACAUACCGUUGGGCAGCGAUUCAGUCACGGAGCCUUCAUGGGUCCAUUUCUGCUCCCCAGUUGGAUUGGCUUUUGCUUGGGUCGAAACAUCUACUCUUGAAGCUGAAAUUGUGAGGUUGAGCGGGUUCGUUCUGAUGAAUCUCUGGCCAAGGAAGACUGUUCUUGGAGAGAGAUUGGUGGGUUUUGUAGAGGACGGAGAAGAUAACCCAGGCGCGGCGAGGAUGUGGACUUGGGCGGUAGUGGAGGUCAUCUCCUUCAGGGGAGGUGAGAGCAAAAUCGGAAGUUAAAAUUGGAGGGAAAGAGGGUGUGGGAAUUAGGCUUUGUUUUGAAGGUAGAAAUGGGAAAAUUUUGGAGGAGGGAUUCAUGGGUACAUGUCUGCCCAACAAAAUCCAAGUUUCCUUCAUGGACUAACUAAAAGUUUGUCUUCUUUUGUAAAAAUCCAGUACCACCACAAUCUCCUUUGUGUAACUGCCAAUUUUCAUGAUAGGAUGUGCUUUGCUUUCCCUGUUUUAGUGCAUCUAUCAACUUUAUCUCAGUAGCUAGCUAAGUAAU